GCGACAGAUCCCUUCGGGGUGACGUUGCUUUAACCUAGCGGCGGACGGGUGAGUAACGCGUGGGUAACCUACCCUAAAGCUCGGGAUAACAGUGGGAAACCGCUGCUAAUACCGGAUGACUUUAACCUAUGGCAUCAUGGGUUAAAGAAAGAUUUAUCGCUUUAGGAUGGGCCCGCGUCCCAUUAGCUAGUUGGUGAGGUAACGGCUCACCAAGGCGACGAUGGGUAGCCGGCCUGAGAGGG
Molecule: ribosomal RNA, 242 nt
Filed under: uncultured bacterium
Lineage: Bacteria
Description: partial 16S ribosomal RNA
Rfam family: Bacterial small subunit ribosomal RNA (bases 43-242)
Source: RNAcentral